GGUCGACUGGCCCAAUGGGUAAGCGGCACUCUCUCAGUGCAACGAAUUGAACUAACAGUUGUACAGCAAGGCGUUUGACUACGAUUACGUGAUCAAAAGAUUGCAGGUUCGAUCCCUGCGUCGAUCA
Molecule: non-coding RNA, 127 nt
Organism: Oidiodendron maius Zn
Lineage: Eukaryota; Fungi; Ascomycota; Leotiomycetes; Myxotrichaceae
Source: the annotation of a GenBank genome assembly